Molecule: long non-coding RNA, 332 nt
Filed under: Medicago truncatula (barrel medic)
Lineage: Eukaryota; Viridiplantae; Streptophyta; Magnoliopsida; Fabales; Fabaceae
Description: lncRNA gene16572
Source: RNAcentral
AGGGGCUCAUAUCAAGUGUAAAUUAUGAAAUCUGUCACUGCGGUAAAAAACCCAAUUCAAUUUGAUGGGACUGUAAGAGAAAGAGGAAGAGGAGAAAGAAGAGGAAGAUAGAAUAUGAGAUGCCAAAGCCAAACCCCUUUGGUGAAAAGGGUAUGGGUAUGGCGGCACCUUCAAGUUCUAACCUUCAUUAUUUUCUUUUUCUUUUUCUUUUCAUGUUUUUGUUGAUACUGAUAAAUGGAGAGAAUCCUAACUCUGAUAGAAGUUGGAUUAUGAUUUUCCGAUUAAAUUGGGUGUUUCCCACUACAGACCUCUCUCAUUGUAAUCAUCGCCCC